This 492-nucleotide ribosomal RNA is filed under the name uncultured bacterium. RNAcentral describes it as "partial 16S ribosomal RNA". It matches the Rfam family "Bacterial small subunit ribosomal RNA", at positions 29 to 507 of the family's 1533-position model. The record is from RNAcentral.
AGUGAACGCUGGCGGUAGGCCUAACACAUGCAAGUCGAACGGCAGCACAGUAAGAGCUUGCUCUUACGGGUGGCGAGUGGCGGACGGGUGAGGAAUACAUCGGAAUCUACUUUUUCGUGGGGGAUAACGUAGGGAAACUUACGCUAAUACCGCAUACUACCUACGGGUGAAAGCAGGGGAUCUUCGGACCUUGCGCGAUUGAAUGAGCCGAUGUCGGAUUAGCUAGUUGGCGGGGUAAAGGCCCACCAAGGCGACGAUCCGUAGCUGGUCUGAGAGGAUGAUCAGCCACACUGGAACUGAGACACGGUCCAGACUCCUACGGGAGGCAGCAGUGGGGAAUAUUGGGCAAUGGGCGCAAGCCUGAUCCAGCCAUACCGCGUGGGUGAAGAAGGCCUUCGGGUUGUAAAGCCCUUUUGUUGGGAAAGAAAAGCAGCAGGUUAAUACCCCGAUGUUCUGACGGUACCCAAAGAAUAAGCACCGGCUAACUUCGUG